CAGUCGCCGCGGUAAUGCGUAGGUCCCGAGCGUUGUCCGGAUUUAUUGGGCGUAAAGCGAGCGCAGGCGGUUAGAUAAGUCUGAAGUUAAAGGCUGUGGCUUAACCAUAGUACGCUUUGGAAACUGUUUAACUUGAGUGCAAGAGGGGAGAGUGGAAUUCCAUGUGUAGCGGUGAAAUGCGUAGAUAUAUGGAGGAACACCGGUGGCGAAAGCGGCUCUCUGGCUUGUAACUGACGCUGAGGCUCGAAAGCGUGGGGAGCAAACAGGAUUAGAUACCCGUGUAGUCCCUGUCUCUUAUACC
This 301-nucleotide ribosomal RNA is filed under the name uncultured bacterium. RNAcentral describes it as "partial 16S ribosomal RNA". It matches the Rfam family "Bacterial small subunit ribosomal RNA", at positions 509 to 808 of the family's 1533-position model. The record is from RNAcentral.